UACCCUGUAUAUAGCCUCCACAUUGACUCUGUACUGGUACCCCCUGUAUAUAGCCUCCACAUUGACUCUGUACCGGUACCCCCUGUAUAUAGCCUCCACAUUGACUCUGUACCGGUACCCCCUGUAUAUAGCCUCCACAUUGACUCUUUACCAGUACCCCCUGUAUAUAGUCUCCACAUUGACUCUGUACCAGUACCCCCUGUAUAUAGUCUCCACAUUGACUCUGUACCGGUACCCCCUGUAUAUAGUCUCCACAUUGACUCUGUACCAGUACCCCCUGUAUAUAGCCUCCACAUUGACUCGGUACCGGUACCCCCUGUAUAUAGUCUCCACAUUGACUCUGUACCGGUACCCCCUGUAUAUAGCCUCCACAUUGACUCAGUACCGGUACCCCCUGUAUAUAGUCUCCACAUUGACUCAAUACCAGUACCCCCUGUAUAUAGCCUCCACAUUGACUCUGUACCGGUACCCCCUGUAUAUAGCCUCCACAUUGACUCUGUACCAGUACCCCCUGUAUAUAGCCUCCACAUUGACUCUGUACCGGUACCCCCUGUAUAUAGCCUCCACAUUGACUCUCUACCGGUACCCCCUGUAUAUAGCCUCCACAUUGACUCUGUACCGGUACCCCCUGUAUAUAGCCUCCACAUUGACUCUGUACCGGUACCCCCUGUAUAUAGCCUCCCCAUUGACUCUGUACCGGUACCCCCUGUAUAUAGCCUCCACAUUGACUCUGUACCAGUACCCCCUGUAUAUAGCCUCCACAUUGACUCUGUACCGGUACCCCUGUAUAUAGCCUCCACAUUGACUCUGUACCGGUACCCCCUGUAUAUAGCCUCCACAUUGACUCUGUACCAUAAUACCCUGUAUAUAGCCUCCACAUUGACUCUGUACCGGUACCCCCUGUAUAUAGCCUCCACAUUGACUCUGUACCGGUACCCCCUGUAUAUAGCCUCCACAUUGACUCUGUACCAUAAUACCCUGUAUAUAGCCUCCACAUUGACUCUGUACCGGUACCCCCUGUAUAUAGCCUCCACAUUGACUCUGUACCGGUACCCCCUGUAUAUAGCCUCCACAUUGACUCUGUACCGGUACCCCCUGUAUAUAGCUCCACAUUGA
Molecule: long non-coding RNA, 1116 nt
Filed under: Oncorhynchus mykiss (rainbow trout)
Lineage: Eukaryota; Metazoa; Chordata; Actinopteri; Salmoniformes; Salmonidae
Description: lncRNA (ENSOMYG00000064622.1)
Source: RNAcentral